UACGUAGGGGGCAAGCGUUAUCCGGAAUUACUGGGUGUAAAGGGAGCGUAGACGGUAAUGUAAGUCUGGAGUGAAAGGCGGGGGCCCAACCCCCGGACUGCUCUGGAAACUAUGUUACUAGAGUGCAGGAGAGGUAAGCGGAAUUCCUAGUGUAGCGGUGAAAUGCGUAGAUAUUAGGAGGAACACCAGUGGCGAAGGCGACUUUCUGGACGAUAACUGACGUUGAGGCACGAAAGUGUGGGGAGCAAACAGG
Molecule: ribosomal RNA, 253 nt
Filed under: uncultured bacterium
Lineage: Bacteria
Description: partial 16S ribosomal RNA
Rfam family: Bacterial small subunit ribosomal RNA
Source: RNAcentral